AGAGUUUGAUCCUGGCUCAGGACGAACGCUGGCGGCGUGCCUAAUACAUGCAAGUCGAGCGAGCUUGCCUAGAUGAUUUUAGUGCUUGCACUAAAUGAAACUAGAUACAAGCGAGCGGCGGACGGGUGAGUAACACGUGGGUAACCUGCCCAAGAGACUGGGAUAACACCUGGAAACAGAUGCUAAUACCGGAUAACAACACUAGACGCAUGUCUAGAGUUUGAAAGAUGGUUCUGCUAUCACUCUUGGAUGGACCUGCGGUGCAUUAGCUAGUUGGUAAGGUAACGGCUUACCAAGGCAAUGAUGCAUAGCCGAGUUGAGAGACUGAUCGGCCACAUUGGGACUGAGACACGGCCCAAACUCCUACGGGAGGCAGCAGUAGGGAAUCUUCCACAAUGGACGAAAGUCUGAUGGAGCAACGCCGCGUGAGUGAAGAAGGGUUUCGGCUCGUAAAGCUCUGUUGGUAGUGAAGAAAGAUAGAGGUAGUAACUGGCCUUUAUUUGACGGUAAUUACUUAGAAAGUCACGGCUAACUACGUGCCCAGCAGCCGCGGUAAUACGUAGGUGGCAAGCGUUGUCCGGAUUUAUUGGGCGUAAAGCGAGUGCAGGCGGUUCAAUAAGUCUGAUGUGAAAGCCUUCGGCUCAACCGGAGAAUUGCAUCAGAAACUGUUGAACUUGAGUGCAGAAGAGGAGAGUGGAACUCCAUGUGUAGCGGUGGAAUGCGUAGAUAUAUGGAAGAACACCAGUGGCGAAGGCGGCUCUCUGGUCUGCAACUGACGCUGAGGCUCGAAAGCAUGGGUAGCGAACAGAAGUAGAUACCCUGGUAGUCCAUGCCGUAAACGAUGAG
This 846-nucleotide ribosomal RNA is filed under the name uncultured bacterium. RNAcentral describes it as "bacterial SSU rRNA". It matches the Rfam family "Bacterial small subunit ribosomal RNA", at positions 8 to 813 of the family's 1533-position model. The record is from RNAcentral.